UGGAAGAACGUUUCCGAUCUGCUGAUAAGUCUCUGGCUGGGACAUUAAUGGCUAAACUAACCACCAUGAAAUUUGAUGGUACUUGUGGGAUGCAUGAGCAUAUCCUUGAAAUGACAAAUAUAGCAGCUAAGCUGAAGGCUCUUGGGAUGGAUGUGAAUGAAUCCUUUUUGGUUCAAUUUAUUUUGAACUCCUUGCCUCCUCAAUUUGGAUCAUUUCAAAUUCACUAUAACACUAUUAAGGAUAAGUGGAAUGUGAAUGAAUUGACCAGUAUGCUUGUUCAAGAGGAGACAAGACUUAAGCAACAAGGAUAUCAUUCUGUCAAUCUUGUAAGUCAUGGAGCCAAGAAGAAAUGGAAGAAGCCAAGAAAGGGCAUGAAGAGUGGACCAUCCAAGGGUAAAGAGCCUCAUCAUGAUACCGAGGUUCAUAAGAAGAAAUAAAACAAAGAUAGAUGCCAUUUCUGCAAAAAAUUGGGACACUAUCAGAAGGACUGCCAUAAACGCAAGGCAUGGUUUGAAAAGAAAGGGAUUCCUUACAACCCAGAUGCAAGAUCCAAAUGAAAGUUUUAUCGUUUUGGGGAAUGGGGUUAGAGUUCCUGUAACAGCUGUUGGAACCUAUCGUUUGCUUUUAAAUACUGGUUGUCAUUUAGAUUUGCUUCAGACUCUUUAUGUUCCUUCUAUUUCUAGAAAUUUAAUUUCUGUUUCUAAACUUGAUGUUGAAGGAUAUUUCUUUAAAAUUGG
Phoenix dactylifera (date palm) is the source of this 737-nucleotide non-coding RNA. The record is from RefSeq and is a predicted model, not a curated record. NCBI's taxonomy places the organism in Eukaryota, Viridiplantae, Streptophyta, Magnoliopsida, Arecales, Arecaceae.